RNAcentral lists this ribosomal RNA (1572 nucleotides) under Salmonella enterica subsp. enterica serovar Alachua. RNAcentral's name for it is "partial 23S ribosomal RNA". It matches the Rfam family "Bacterial large subunit ribosomal RNA", at positions 190 to 1921 of the family's 2925-position model. The record is from RNAcentral. Lineage: Bacteria; Pseudomonadati; Pseudomonadota; Gammaproteobacteria; Enterobacterales; Enterobacteriaceae.
GAACUGAAACAUCUAAGUACCCAGAGGAAAGGACAUCAAACGAGACUCCGCUAGUAGUGGCGAGCGAACGCGGACCAGGCCAGUGGCUUAAUUGAGUAAAGUGGAACAAUCUGGAAAGGUUGGCUAGAGUGGGUGAUAGCCCCGUACACGCAACACGAGAUUAAGUCCUUGAGUAGGGCGGGACACGUGAAAUCCUGUCUGAACAUGGGUAGACCACUAUCCAAGCCUAAGUACUCGUGCAUGACCGAUAGCGAACCAGUACCGUGAGGGAAAGGUGAAAAGCACCCCGACGAGGGGAGUGAAAUAGUACCUGAAACCGAAUGCCUACAAACAGUUGGAGCCCAAGAUUAGUUCUGGGUGACAGCGUACCUUUUGUAUAAUGGGUCAGCGACUUAGUGUAACGAGCAAGCUUAAGCCGGUAGGUGUAGGCGUAGCGAAAGCGAGUCUGAACAGGGCGUUCAGUUCGUUGCAUUAGACCCGAAACCAAGUGAUCUAGCCAUGAGCAGGUUGAAGGUACGGUAACACGUACUGGAGGACCGAACCCAUAUCUGUUGCAAUAGAUCGGGAUGACUUGUGGCUAGGGGUGAAAGGCCAAUCAAACUUGGAGAUAGCUGGUUCUCCGCGAAAUCUAUUUAGGUAGAGCGUCCAGCGAAUACCCCCGGGGGUAGAGCACUGAAUGGGCUAUGGGGACUCACCGUCUUACUGAUCCUAAUCAAACUCCGAAUACCGGGGAGUACUACUGGGCAGACACACGGCGGGUGCUAACGUCCGUCGUGAAGAGGGCAACAACCCUGACCACCAUCUAAGGUCCCUAAGUUAUGGCUAAGUGGGAAAGGAUGUGAGGAUCCCAAAACAACCAGGAUGUUGGCUUAGAAGCAGCCAUCAUUUAAAGAAAGCGUAACAGCUCACUGGUCUAAAUAAGGGUCUUUGCGCCGAAAAUGUACCGGGGCUAAAGCCAUACACCGAAGCUGUGGAUGCACGUAUGUGCGUGGUAGCGGAGCGUUCCGUAAGCCUGUGAAGGGACAGUCGUGAGACAUCCUGGAGGUAUCGGAAGUGAGAAUGCUGACAUGAGUAACGAUAAAGGGAGUGAGAGACUCCCUCGCCGAAAGUCCAAGGGUUCCUGCUUAAAGUUAAUCUGAGCAGGGUUAGCCGGCCCCUAAGGCGAGGCCGAAAGGCGUAGUCGAUGGGAACCACGUUAAUAUUCGUGGGCCUGCAGGUAGUGACGGAUUGCGUGUGUUGUACAUUCUUAUUGGAUUGAAUGUGCAGCGAAGCGGUUCCAGGAAAUAGCUCCUGCAUAUAGACCGUACCCUAAACCGACACUGGUGGACUGGUAGAGAAUACCAAGGCGCUUGAGAGAACUGCGUUGAAGGAACUCGGCAAAAUGCACGCGUAACUUCGGAAGAAGCGUGACCCUUGUUUAGGCAACUAGAUGAGGGUGGCACAGACCAGGGGGUAGCGACUGUUUACCAAAAACACAGGGCUCUGCGAAGUCGCAAGACGACGUAUAGGGUCUGACGCCUGCCCGGUGCUGGAAGGUUAAGAGGAGAUGUGCAAGCAUUGAAUUGAAGCCCC